GAACUGAAGAGUUUGAUCCUGGCUCAGAUUGAACGCUGGCGGCAUGCCUUACACAUGCAAGUCGAACGGCAGCACGGGUGCUUGCACCUGGUGGCGAGUGGCGAACGGGUGAGUAAUACAUCGGAACAUGUCCUGUAGUGGGGGAU
This 146-nucleotide ribosomal RNA is filed under the name Burkholderia cenocepacia. RNAcentral's name for it is "partial 16S ribosomal RNA". It matches the Rfam family "Bacterial small subunit ribosomal RNA", at positions 1 to 144 of the family's 1533-position model. Lineage: Bacteria; Pseudomonadati; Pseudomonadota; Betaproteobacteria; Burkholderiales; Burkholderiaceae. The record is from RNAcentral.